CCUUUAGAUGUUCUGGGCUGCACGCGCGCUACACUGAUGCAUCCAACGAGUUUAUAACCUGAGCCGAUAGGCCUAGGUAAUCUUGUGAGUAUGCAUCGUGAUGGGGAUAGAUUAUUGCAAUUAUUAAUCUUCAACGAGGAAUGCCUAGUAGGCGCGAGUCAACAGCUCGUGCCGAUUACGUCCCUGCCCUUUGUACACACCGCCCGUCGCUCCUACCGAUUGAAUGGUCCGGUGAAAUCUCGGGACGGCGGCUUGGUCGCUUGCGUCCGACUGCUGAAACUUGAUUAAACCAUAUCAUUUAGAGGAAGGUGAAGUCGUAACA
Molecule: ribosomal RNA, 322 nt
Filed under: uncultured eukaryote
Lineage: Eukaryota
Description: partial 18S ribosomal RNA
Rfam family: Eukaryotic small subunit ribosomal RNA
Source: RNAcentral